RNAcentral lists this unclassified non-coding RNA (374 nucleotides) under uncultured fungus. RNAcentral's name for it is "sequence contains ITS1". Lineage: Eukaryota; Fungi. The record is from RNAcentral.
UUAACUUUUAUAUUUUUAUGGUACGUCGGACUGACUUUGCAAUUGAGUGGGGUUGUGGGUAAGGGACCUCCCCCGAUCCCCCAUUUGGAGAGGGUUCGGGGAAGCAACAUGGAGUGGUACGCCGAGGUGUAUGAAGGUUAAACCAGUCCCCAGCUUCGACAACGCAGCCGACACCCCCAGGUAGUUCCGUCAGCGCCAGCCGGCAGGGGGGGUGUCUCUCAGGGCCCGAUGGAGCCCAGUAGGGAUCAGGUGGGUGCGCCGCCCCACAGCCCUAAGCCCAUACUUUCUUUGAGUUGGUGAGGGGAGGGGGCGAGGUUCGCUAUUACUUAACCCAAGAUCUUAUAAUGAUCCUUCCGCAGGUUCACCUACGGAAA